ACAUGCAGUCGAGCGGAUGAGAGGAGCUUGCUCCUGGAUUCAGCGGCGGACGGGUGAGUAAUGCCUAGGAAUCUGCCUGGUAGUGGGGGACAACGUUUCGAAAGGAACGCUAAUACCGCAUACGUCCUACGGGAGAAGCAGGGGACCUUCGGGCCUUGCGCUAUCAGAUGAGCCUAGGUCGGAUUAGCUAGUUGGUGAGGUAAUGGCUCACCAAGGCGACGAUCCGUAACUGGUCUGAGAGGAUGAUCAGUCACACUGGAACUGAGACACGGUCCAGACUCCUACGGGAGGCAGCAGUGGGGAUAUUGGACAAUGGGCGAAAGCCUGAUCCAGCAUGCCGCGUGUGUGAGAAGUCUUCGGAUUGUAAGCACUUAAGUGGAGGAAGGUUGUAGAUUAUACUCUGCAUUUGACGUACGACAGAUACCGCUACUCUGUCCACAGCGCGUAAUAGAGGGGGCAGCUUAUCGAAUUCUGGCGUAAGGCCGUGGUGUUGUAAGUGAUGUAAUCCCGGCUCACCUGGACUGUCAAACUGAGCAAAGUGGGAAGGGGGGAUUUCU
RNAcentral lists this ribosomal RNA (557 nucleotides) under bacterium amp-w-69. Its description in RNAcentral is "bacterial SSU rRNA". It matches the Rfam family "Bacterial small subunit ribosomal RNA", at positions 53 to 660 of the family's 1533-position model. The record is from RNAcentral.